This 726-nucleotide ribosomal RNA is filed under the name uncultured bacterium. Its description in RNAcentral is "bacterial SSU rRNA". It matches the Rfam family "Bacterial small subunit ribosomal RNA", at positions 95 to 835 of the family's 1533-position model. The record is from RNAcentral.
GUGGCGACGGGUGAGUAACACGUGGGCAACCUGCCCCUGACUUUGGGAUAACUCCUCGAAAGAGGGGCUAAUACCGGAUACGACCACUGGCGGCAUCGCCUGGUGGUGGAAAGCUCCGGCGGUCAGGGAUGGGCCCGCGGCCUAUCAGCUUGUUGGAGGGGUAACGGCCCACCAAGGCGACGACGGGUAGCCGGCCUGAGAGGGCGACCGGCCACACUGGGACUGAGACACGGCCCAGACUCCUACGGGAGGCAGCAGUGGGGAAUAUUGGUCAAUGGGCGAAAGCCUGAACCAGCAACGCCGCGUGAGGGAUGAAGGCCUUCGGGUUGUAAACCUCUUUCAGCAGGGACGAAGCGCAAGUGACGGUACCUGCAGAAGAAGCACCGGCUAACUACGUGCCAGCAGCCGCGGUAAUACGUAGGGUGCAAGCGUUGUCCGGAUUUAUUGGGCGUAAAGAGCUCGUAGGCGGUCCAGCACGUCAGAUGUGAAAACUCGGGGCUUAACCCCGAGCCUGCAUUCGAUACGGCUGGACUCGAGUGUGGUAGGGGAGACUGGAAUUCCUGGUGUAGCGGUGGAAUGCGCAGAUAUCAGGAGGAACACCGAUGGCGAAGGCAGGUCUCUGGGCCAUUACUGACGCUGAGGAGCGAAAGCGUGGGGAGCGAACAGGAUUAGAUACCCUGGUAGUCCACGCCGUAAACGGUGGGCGCUAGUUGUGGGGAACUUUCC